UCCUGAUAGGCCUACCCAGUCUCUCAGCCUCUCCAGUAGCAGGUGAUGGUCAACAGUGUCAAAGGCUGCAGUCAGGUCCAGCAGGACCAGAACAGAACAGUCCCCUGCAUCACUGUGAGUCAGAAGAUCAUUAGAGACCCUAAGAAGAGCUGUUUCAGUAGAAUGAGCUCUACGAAAACCUGACUGGAAGCUAUCAUAGAUGUUAUGUUCAUCAAGAGCAGUUGUGAGUUGUUUAGCCACAACCUUUUCCAAGAUCUUGGAGAUGAACGGAAGUUUAGAGAUGGGUCUGAAGCUGCCCAUCUCUUAUAGGAUAUAAGCUGAUCACAGAUUAAUCUAAAUAUCUCCUGGAGGACUCCAAAUUGCACCAACGUUGUCUGGGGAGUAAAUGGACGUUUUCCAUGUUAAAAAUUAGGUCCAGGUUGCAAAUAAACAAUAUUUGCCCUUUAUGAUUGUUUGAGAUUGAAAUGAUAAUGAAUCAGAUUUUUAGCAUUUUGUCCUCUCUUGUCCAGGUCAAUGCAGAGUUUCACAGGAUCACGACAAUGAACCUUGAGCCAAAAUUCAUGUCAACGUUGGACUUGUGUUCUUCCAAACUGAUGUCCUAGUUCCAAGGCAAGAAGGGUGCUGCUGGACAACGCCAUAGGGCAUAAUUACAUGCUUCAGGAGUAUGCUGAUGCUGUCAGUGUUGAAGAGGCUUUGACCGAGGAGGUGAUGAAGAUUUACCGGUACCUGCUGCAGAUCCAAGACAGCUCAGUCGAACCUACUGAUGUGGGUAAUGUUGAGGGCAUCACUGUUCUGGGCAAACUCGGGAAUCUCAGCAAAGCCUGUUGCUGUCUGUUGGGACUGUCCUAUGCUUUCGAUCUGAAAUACCCCAAGAAUCUCAAAUACACAUUUGAGGUAUUUCAAAAAGUGUUCCUGGAGCUGGAUCCAGGAAACCUUUCUGUCAAGGUUCAAAGACUGAAAAAUUACCUCUGUGCACUGUAGACACCAUUUCCCAUAGCUGUUCCUAAAGUAUUGGACUGGUUAGAUGACAUGCCAUAGUCAUCACAAGGUUUAGUUGAUGCAUUACCAUUUGUGUUGACAUUUCCAAAGCAUGUUUGCACCAUUUAUAUGUUUGUGUUCUGGUUGUAAAAUGUUAUCUUCUUUAUUGUUUUUUGAAAGCAUUCUUUUUUACUUAUUUAUUUAUUUUAAUUAUGGCCUUUUUUGUCACAUUUUUUGUUAUUGUUUUCUCAGAAUCAAAAUGAGGUGUUCAAAACAAGGACAGUGCAAAUGUUUCUUUUCAGGAUUUAUAAUUUUGGGAUUUUUUCAUUCAGCUGCUUGUUCUUUUUUCAGUAGGCCUCAUCUGAAAUAGUAAAACACUAUUCCCUUGAGCCUCUUAUGAUCUUCGUACAGCAGGUAAAGCUUUUCAUUGGAUCAUUGACAACAAUUAGCCAGUUUAAAGAGUUUUAUCAAGCUUGCAAAUUGAGAGUACAAAAAAAGCUGUUGAUGGGAAGUUUCAUCCAUGUUCGAUCCACUGAAUGAGUACAACUUAGCUCACUGUUUUUUGAGAAUGAAUCUGCUUAAGGUGUGGUUCACAAAAUAAAGCUGGUUGAAUGGAUUUGAUGUCAUGCUCACAAAAAUAAAUGUGAAAAAUGUUGAACUGAUGUGGUCCUUUUAACCUGUGUGUGUGUGUGUGUGUGUGUGUGUGUGUGUGUGUGUGUGUGUAGAGAGAGAGAGAGAGAGAAAGAAUUAGGCUAGUUUAUAAUUAAAAUUACCAUUGAAAUGCAGUAAAAUUAAUAUUUAAUUGUAAUUCCAGUUUUUACUUAGGUUGUUUUAAACAUUAAGUAAAUUGAACCAAUAUUUAAAAACAGAUAGCAUCCUUGUUUUAAGUUACAUGUACCUAGCAUUACAGGAUUAUCUAUUUAACUUUUUUAUGUGGAUUCAAUUGUAGCUUACUGUUAUUUUUAUCAACAAUUUUAAUAGUAUUUACUCAAUUUUGCAUGUCACUGAAACAGCUUUAAUUGUUCAGGACAACUUAUUUCAUUUUAGUUAGAUUUACUUAAUUGAUAAGGUAUUUUAAAGAGAUUUGAUUGGGUUUACAUUUACUCAUUAGUUUAAGUGUAAAAAUGUUGCACCAAGAAAUUUAAGUAAAUGUCAGUUAUACUUUUUAGAGUGCACAGAGAUAGAAAGGAUUUGUAAGUGCAUAAUCAUAUUCCGACUUCAAGUCAAGCUGCACUUCCCUUCAAUAGUGUUCCAUUUCUGACAAACUAGACUUUCUUAAUAUUGUGUUCAAUUUUGAGAAGCUGCACUUUAGCUGCCCUUUCCUCCCAUAGUGUUCAUUUCCUCAGAAGCUGCAGUUGCUAUAAUGCUCCAUUUCUGACAAAUUAGACUUUUUUGUUAGUGUUCCUAACUACCUGCACUUUCCUCUGAUUGUGUUUCAUUGCUGAAUAGCUACAUUUUAAUUUGUUAUAGUGUUUCAAUUCAGACAAACUAGACGUUUUAACCCUCUGGAGGCAGGCAUUCCAGAUUUGCAAGGUAAAAACCUACUGUACCUACCUGGUUACUCCACAUACGCAUUUCAUGAGCAUUUUUCAACUCAGAAGUACCCCUGAAGGACUUAGUUGUUCGUCCUUUUAUCAAAACUUAUUUUGAGCCUGAGAGGGUUAAAUUUAGUGUUCCAAUUUUGAGAAGCUACACUUUCCUCUAAUAUGGUGUUCCAUUUCUGAGAAGCUACACUUUCCCCAGAAAGUGUUCCAUUUUAGACCAGAUGCACUUUCCUUUUGUUAGUUUAAUUUCUGACAAUCUACACUUUUUAAUAUAGUGUUUUAAUCUUGAGAAGUUGUACUUUCCUCUAAUAUAGUGUUCAGUUUCUGAGAAGAUGCAUUUUCCUCUAAUAUGGUGUUCCAUUUCUGACAUUUUUAGUGUUCUACUUUACCACAGCCUGUCAAAGUAAACAGGAAUGGCAUUUCAUGUUACCAG
Molecule: long non-coding RNA, 2955 nt
Filed under: Nothobranchius furzeri (turquoise killifish)
Lineage: Eukaryota; Metazoa; Chordata; Actinopteri; Cyprinodontiformes; Nothobranchiidae
Description: lncRNA (ENSNFUG00015000430.1)
Source: RNAcentral